This 39743-nucleotide long non-coding RNA is filed under the name Zea mays. Its description in RNAcentral is "long non-coding RNA (ZMAY_LNC003008)". The record is from RNAcentral. Lineage: Eukaryota; Viridiplantae; Streptophyta; Magnoliopsida; Poales; Poaceae.
GACCACGCUUGCACCACAUGUUUUGUUUUUGCAAAUUCUUUUGUAAAUUCUUUUCAAAGUCCUUUUGCAAAUAGUCAAAGGUAAAUGAAUAAGAUUUUGCGAAGCAUUUUCAAGAUUUGAAAUUUUCUCCCCCUGUUUCAAAUGCUUUUUCCUUUGACUAAACAAAACUCCCCCUCAAUAAAUUCUCCUCUUAGUGUUCAAGAGGGUUUUGAGAUAUCAUUUUUGAAAAUACUAACUUCUUCCCCUUUUGAACACAAUGAGAUACCAAUUUGAAAUUGCCAAUUGAAAAUCAUUAGUUUUUAAAAUUAGGUGGUGGUGCGGUCCUUUUGCUUUGGGCUCAUGCUCUCUCCCCCUUUGGCAUAAAUCGCCAAAAACAGAGUCAUUAGAGCCCUUUGAAUUACUUUAUCCCCCUUUGGUCAUAAAUAAAUGAGUGGAGAUUAUACCAAAGCCGGAGAGUUGCUCGGAGCGACGGCGAAGGAUGAGUUAUGGAGUGGAAGCCUUUGUCUUCGCCGAAGACUCCAAUUCCCUUUUAAUACACCUAUGACUUGGUUUGAAAUAGACUUGAAAACACAUUAGUCAUAGCAUAUAUAAAGGCGACAUGAUCAAAGGUAUAUGAAUAAGCUAUGUGUGCAAAUCAACAAAAGAAGUUCCUAGAAUCAAGAAUAUUUAGCUCAUGCCUAAGUUUGUUAAAGGUUUGUUCAUCAAGAGGCUUGGUAAAGAUAUCGGCUAAUUGAUCUUUAGUGUUAAUAUAUGAAAUUUCGAUAUCUCCCUUUUGUUGGUGAUCCCUUAGAAAAUGAUACCGAAUGGCUAUGUGUUUAGUGCGGCUAUGCUCAACGGGAUUAUCCUCCAUGCGGAUUGCACUCUCAUUAUCACAUAGAAGAGGAACUUUGGUUAAUUUGUAACCAUAGUCCCUAAGGGUUUGCCUCAUCCAAAGUAGUUGCGCGCAACAAUGGCCUGCAGCAAUGUACUCGGCUUCGGCGGUAGAAAGAGCGACGAAAUUUUGCUUCUUUGAAGCCCAAGACACCAAGGAUCUUCCCAAGAACUGGCAAGUCCCCGAUGUGCUCUUCCUAUUAAUUUCACACCCCGCCCAAUCAGCAUCCGAAUAACCAAUUAUAUCAAAAGUGGAUCCCCUAGGAUACCAAAGCCCAAACUUAGGAGUAUAAACUAAAUAUCUCAAGAUUCGUUUUACGGCCGUAAGGUGAGCUUCCUUAGGGUCGGCUUGGAAUCUUGCACACAUGCAUACGGAAAGCAUAAUAUCCGGUCGUGAUGCACAUAAAUAGAGUAGAGACCCAAUCAUCGACCGGUAUACCUUUUGAUUGACGGAUUUACCUCCCUCGUCGAGGUCGAGAUGCCCAUUGGUUCCCAUGGGUGUCUUGAUGGGUUUGGCAUCCUUCAUCCCAAACUUGCUUAGAAUAUCUUGAGUAUACUUCGUUUGGCUUAGGAAGGUGCCCUCUUGGAGUUGCUUCACUUGAAAUCCUAAGAAAUACUUCAACUCCCCCAUCAUAGACAUCUCGAAUUUUUGUGUCAUGAUCCUACUAAAUUCUUCACAUGUAGACUCGUUAGUAGACCCAAAUAUAAUAUCAUCAACAUAAAUUUGGCAUACAAACAAGUCAUUUUCAAGAGUUUUAGUGAAGAGUGUAGGAUCGGCUUUUCCGACUUUGAACCCAUUAGUGAUAAGGAAAUCUCUAAGGCAUUCAUACCAUGCUCUUGGGGCUUGCUUGAGCCCAUAAAGCGCCUUAGAGAGUUUAUAAACAUGAUUAGGGUACUCACUAUCUUCAAAGCCGGGAGGUUGCUCAACAUAGACCUCUUCCUUGAUUGGUCCAUUGAGGAAGGCACUCUUCACGUUCAUUUGAUAAAGCUUGAAGCCAUGGUAAGUAGCAUAGGCCAAUAAUAUACGAAUUGACUCAAGCCUAGCUACGGGUGCAUAGGUUUCCCUGAAAUUCAAACCUUCGACUUGGGAGUAUCCCUUGGCCACAAGUCGAGCUUUGUUCCUUGUCACCACACCAUGCUCGUCUUGCUUGUUGCGAAAGACCCAUUUGGUUCCUACAACAUUUUGAUUAGGACGUGGAACCAAAUGCCAUACCUCGUUCCUAGUGAAGUUGUUGAGUUCCUCUUGCAUCGCCACCACCCAAUCCGAAUCUUGAAGUGCUUCCUCUACCCUAUGUGGCUCAAUAGAGGAAACAAAAGAGUAAUGCUCACAAAAAUGUGCAACACAAGAUCUAGUGGUUACCCCCUUAUGAAUGUCGCCGAGGAUGGUGUCGACGGGGUGAUCUCGUUGGAUUGCUUGGUGGACUCUUGGGUGUGGCGGUCUUGGUUCUUCAUCCUCCUUGUCUUGAUCAUUUGCAUCUCCCCCUAGAUCAUUGUCGUCAUCUUGAGGUGGCUCAUUAGCUUGAUCUUCUCCUUCAUCAACUUGAGCCUCAUCCUCAUUUUGAGUUGGUGGAGAUGCUUGAGUGGAGGAGGAUGGUUGAUCUUGUGCAUUUGGAGGCUCUUUGGAUUCCUUAGGACACACAUCCCCAAUGGACAUGUUCCUUAGCGCGAUGCACGGAGCCUCUUCAACACCUAUCUCAUCAAGAUCAACUUGUUCUACUUGAGAGUCGUUAGUCUCAUCAAACACAACGUCACAAGAAACUUCAACUUGUCCAGAGGACUUAUUAAAGACUCUAUAUGCCCUUGUGUUCGAAUCAUAUCCUAGUAAAAAGCCUUCUACAGUCUUAGGAGCAAAUUUAGAUUUUCUUCCUCUUUUAACAAGUAUAAAGCAUUUGCUACCAAAGACUCUAAAAUAUGAAAUAUUGGGCUUUUUACCGGUUAGGAGUUCGUAUGAUGUCUUCUUGAGGAUUCGGUGUAGAUACAACCGGUUGAUGGUGUAGCAGGCGGUGUUGACUGCCUCGGCCCAAAACCGAUCCGAAGUCUUGUACUCAUCAAGCAUGGUUCUUGCCAUGUCCAAUAGAGUUCGAUUCUUCCUCUCCACUACACCAUUUUGUUGUGGCGUGUAGGGAGAAGAGAACUCAUGCUUGAUGCCCUCCUCCUCAAGGAAGCCUUCAAUUUGAGAGUUCUUGAACUCCGUCCCGUUAUUGCUUCUAAUUUUCUUGAUCCUUAAGCCGAACUCGUUUUGAGCUCGUCUCAAGAAUCCCUUUAAAGUAUCUUGGGUAUGAGAUUUUUCCUGCAAAAAGAACACCCAAGUGAAGCGAGAAUAAUCAUCCACAAUAACUAGACAGUACUUACUCCCGCCGAUGCUUAUGUAAGCAAUCGGGCCGAAUAGAUCCAUGUGUAGGAGCUCCAGUGGCCUAUCAGUCGUCAUGAUGUUCUUGUGUGGAUGAUGGGUUCCAAUUUGCUUCCCUGCUUGGCAUGCGCUACAAAUCCUGUCUUUCUCAAAAUGAACAUUUGUUAAUCCUAAAAUGUGUUCUCCAUUUAGAAGCUUAUGAAGAUUCUUAAUCCCAACAUGGGCUAGUCGGCGGUGCCAGAGCCAACCCAUGUUAGUCUUAGCAAUUAAGCAAGUGUCGAGUUCAGCUCUAUCAAAAUCUACCAAGUAUAGCUGACCCUCUAACACUCCCUUAAAUGCUACUGAAUCAUCACUUCUUCUAAAGACAGUGACACCUAUAUCAGUGAAUAGACAGUUGUAGCCCAUUUGACAUAAUUGAGAUACGGAAAGCAAGUUGUAAUCUAAUGAAUCAACAAGAAAAACAUUGGAAAUGGAAUGGUCAGGAGAUAUAGCUAUUUUACCCAAACCUUUGACCAAACCUUGGUUUCCAUCCCCGAAUGUGAUAGCUCGUUGGGGAUCCUGGUUUUUCUCAUAGGAGGAGAACAUCUUCUUCUCCCCUGUCAUGUGGUUUGUGCACCCGCUAUCGAUGAUCCAACUUGAGCCCCCGGAUGCAUAAACCUACAAAACAAGUUUAGUUCUUUGUUUUAGGUACCCAAACUGUUUUGGGUCCUUUGGCAUUAGAUACAAGAACUUUGGGUACCCAAACACAAGUCUUUGAUCCCUUGUGUUUGCCCUCAACAAACUUGGCAACUACCUUGCCGGAUUUGUUAGUUAAAACAUAUGAUGCAUCAAAAGUUUUGAAUGAAAUGCUAUGGUCAUUUGAUGCACUAGGAGUUUUCUUUUUAGGCAACUUAGCACGGGUUGGUUGCCUAGAACUAGAUGCCUCACCCUUAUACAUAAAAGCAUGGUUAGGGUCAGGGUGAGACUUCCUAGAAUGAAUUCUCCUAAUUUUGCUCUCGGGAUAACCGACAGGAACAAAAUGUAACCCUCGUUAUCUUGAGGCAUGGGAGCCUUGCCCUUAACAAAAUUGGACAAUUUCUUAGGAGGAGCAUUAAGUUUGACAUUGUCCCCCUUUUGGAAGCCAAUGCCAUCCUUGAUGUCAGGGCGUCUCCCACUAUAAAGCAUACUACGAGCAAAUUUAAAUUUUUCAUUUUCAAGUUCAUGCUCGGCAAUUUUUGCAUCUAAUUUUGCUAUAUGAUCAUUUUGUUGCUUAAUUAAUACCAUAUGAUCAUGAAUAGCAUCAAUAUCAACAUCUCUACAUCUAGUGCAAAUAGAAGUAUGUUCAACGGUAGAUGUAGAGGGUUUGCAAGAUUUUAAUUCUACAACCUUAGCAUGUAAUAUAUCAUUUUUACUUCUAAGGUCGGAAAUGGAAGCAUUGCAAACAUCAAAAUCUUUAGCCUUAGCAAUUAAUUUUUCAUUUUCAUUUCUAAGGCUAGCAAGAGAUAUGUUCAAUUCUUCAAUCUUAGCAAGCAAAUUAUCAUUAUCAUUUCUAAGAUUGGGAAUUGGAACAUCACAAGCAUUUGAAUCAACCUUAGCUAAUAAAAUAGCAUUUUCAUUUCUAAGGUUGUCUAUAGUCUCAUGGCAAGUGCUUAGCUCACUAGAUAGUUUUUCACAUUUUUCUACUUCUAGAGCGUAAGCAUUUUUAACUUUAACAUGCUUCUUAUUUUCUUUAAUAAGGAAGUCCUCUUGGGUGUCCAAGAGAUCAUCUGUUGGGGGCCUUCGGCUUCCGAAGGUCCUCAAAAACAUGAUUUGACAAUGUUUUCCAAGUAUGCGAGCAGGCAGCUUCGGAAUCAGGUUACGGGUAAACAAGAGCAUGGUCAAGACGAAGCUUGACUGGGAUGGAAGGCGAUCAUGACGAAGGAUGAGACGAUCACGAAGCUAUAUGCAGAAAAGCUUCGGCAUGACAGCAGAAAAAGGGAACCGACUUAAAGAUGAAAAGCCAAAUUAGACCUCGAAGAAUUACUAUAGAGUUAUUGAUAAAAGUAAAGGGCAUUAAUGUAAUUUUACACGGGCUGUGUCCCGUGCCUAUAAAUAGAUGAACAGUAUUCCCGUACUGUUCACGCUGACUUGGCAUUAGCAUCACGCUUGUACCCUUACUUUCCUUCAAGCCGAAGGUACAUUUGUAAUUUGUUGUUGUUUAUAUAAGUAAAAUAAAUAGAAAUAAAUUAAUAAUAAUGUUUAAAGUAAUCAUGCUAUUUUCCGUGUUUGUGUAUAAAUCUCUUUUAUCUUUUAUUAUGAUUAUGAAGGUGUGACCUUCAUAACCUUCGUCCGAAAUCCAUUAUAUCCAAAGGGAAAUAAUGCUUCGAAGGACGAAGGGCUUUGAUAUUUAACAUUUUAUGUUGCCUUGUUCUUAAUUCAUAGCAUUUGAGAACAAGUCCCCAACAUUGGCGCCCACCUCCGGUGAACUCACUUCCAUUUCUUGAGCUUUGAACACCUUCGGCAAGCAUCACCUUCGGCAUGCCGCCGAAAAAAGCUUCAGCGACAGGGGCUGCCACUCUGCAGCCGCUGGACCCCAAUCAGGACGUCCUUUCUCUUUGGGAGGCCCGAAGCCAGAAGAGGAAGGCCACUAGUCCAAUGCCUCCGGAGGACGACUUGGACCAGGAAAUCCAAAACCUAGAGAUGCUCCAUCAAUAGGUGCAACGAAAGAAGGAGAAGAUGGCUCGUCUAGCUGACCUUCAGAGGCAGAUAGAUGACGCUUCGGAAGAGGUUCGUCAUCUUGCCCAAGAUGACCAGAACCGAAGGCCUCCGCGCAGAGAGCUUCAUCAGGAAGGCUUCUACAAUGAGGACGACUGGUAUGAAGAUUUCCAUCAAGGAAAUUUUGCUUUUGAUGAUGCUUCUCCUCUAUCAACAGAAUUGCAGGCUACACCAUGGCCCCAGUCUUACAAGCCACCCCAGCUCCCCAUGUACGACGGUCAUACAGACCCGAAGCAAUUCUUGAUGAGCUAUGAAGCAACCAUAUCUUCGUAUGGUGACAAUACUGCAGUCAUGGAAAAGUCUUUUGUCAUGGCCGUCAAGAGUGUCGCUCAAACCUGGUACUCCACUCUUCGGCCAGUGACAAUCACCUCAUGGCAGAAGCUGAAGGAUAUGUUGAUAACCAGCUUCCAAGGGUUUUAGACGAAGCCAGUUACUGCUCAAGCUUUAUUCCAGUGUACCCAGGACCACGAAGAAUAUCUUUAGGCGUAUGUCCAAAGGUUUCUGCGUCUGAGGGCACAGGCGCCAACAGUGCCCAAUGAAAUUGUCAUUGAGGCCAUGAUUAAGGGACUUUGGCCGGGACCUUCAGCGCAGUACUUUGCCAGGAAGCCACCACAAACUUUGGAGAAGCUGCUCCAGAAGAUGGACGAGUAUAUUCGAGCUGACAAUGACUUCCACCAAAGAAGGGAGGAGGCAUUCAGGUUCUCUGAAAUGACCAGGGGCUUCGGAGGAAGAUUUCAUCCGAGGCACGUCAGGUCAAUUCAUAACUCCACUCAGAGUGAUGAUAGAGGGAGCCAAUAGCAAAGGCCACAAUACUCCUCGCAAGCUUCGGGGCAGUAGCAAAGUUCUUUUCGGCCGCCAGCGCCAAGGGGCAGAGGCACUAGGGGCUUCGGGGGAAGAUUUGGGAUCAGCUAAGAAAAAUCUACUGCCUAUUCUAUGGUGAAGACAAGGGCCAUACCACCAGGAUGUGCCAUGUUACCAUCCAGAAGCAAAAGGAGAUAGCAGAAGCUGCAACACAACAGAGUCAGCCGAAGCAGGUCAUGCAUACUGCUUCGUACCAUUCGCCUUACAUUCCAGAAUAUGUAGGCAAUCACUCUGCAGCUUCUGUUGCUUCGGCAAGCCAACCCCAAGCAUCUUGGCAACAGCCUCCACCACCAAUACAACAAGGUCAGCAGCCUGAAGGGAGUCAGCACACUCACCUUCAGCGGGACUUCAGAGAGGGGUCCGAAGCUCGCACAGUCAAUAGCACUGUGCCAGAGUCGAAGCACAUUUACUGACAAAUAUCCUACCUCGAUAGCAGAUUUUCGCAUUUUCACAUUCAAUAUUAUUUUCUUUUUAAUAAGGAACAAUUAUGGAGAGUCUAAAUGUCUUUUAUCGUCUUUUAAUUUCUUGUAAUAGCUUCGCUUUUUACCAUAAUAAAAAUAUAUCUUCUCCAUAGGCCUAAGUUGCCGAAGCAUGAGAAUUUAUGAUGGCAAGGAGGACCUUCGAAUUAUCAAAAAUUUGUUCUAAGGAACGCAACGCAAUUUUUUCGAAGCAGCAAAAAGUCGUUCCUAAGGGAGUGCAGUGUAAGUUUUCUGAGCCUACAGCGAAAAAUAAGCGCUGAUUCCGCCGAAAGUAAAAGGCGAAGAAGCUCCUAAGGGAGGCUUACAGCGAAAAAUAAGCGCUGAUUCCGCUGAAAGUAAAAGGCGAAGAAGCUCCUAAGGGAGGCUUACAGCGAAAAAUAAACGCUGAUUCCGCUGAAGUAAAAGGCGAAGAAGCUCCUAAGGGAGGCUUACAGAGAAAAAUUAAUGUCAACCUUUGGCAAAUAUCAUUUUGCACAGCAUUACAUCAUUACAUCAUUUGCAUAGCAUAACAUCAUACAUCAUAGUGCAUCAACAAUGCAAGAAGGGGGUCUCGAUAUUGAUAUUCGAAGAUUGUUUUGAAGAAAUAGUGACAAGGCACAAAAAAUAGCCGUUGAAAGGUUAUACCAUCGUCAAACUCUGAAAUGGAAGGACCUAUUGAUUAUUGAUUUUACAAGGAUUGGUCAUUGAUUUUUACGAAGCAUGAAAAGAAGGGAAGGUGUUUUUUCGCCGAAGGCUAAAAAAUGGUACGUAUAUGAUGUUUCAUGCAUCGUCAAAAAUAGAAUUAUAAACAGCUAAAAUGCUAUAUCCAAAGUUACACCAUAUUACACAUGAUACUCAGCAAGCAUUACAAUCUAAAUGUUUUUACAGCAACAUUUAAUCUUCCUUUAAGACUACUUCUGCAGCUUCAUUUAGAAGCUGAUCAACAACUCUAUCCAUGAUGGCUUCGGCCAUUUGUUUAAUUUCGUCAUCCCCCUUCGUGUGGGGGCCUGGUGAUAGCUCAGCAGAUUCUCAGGGAAGAGAAGAUAUGGAUAUAUUACUAUUACAAACCACGAACAAGUUCGAAAUCAAAAAAUUACAACGAAGAGCCAGUUAUCACUAAUUAAUACCUAUUUGUCCUUCGGGCUCUGCGCUUUUCUCAGCAGCCUCUGCUACCUUCCUAGCGUCAUGGAUGCCUUUUUCGCUUUUUUGGAUGAUUUCUUGGGCCAUUUCUCGGCCGCCAUUGUCCCAGAUGUCGGUGAAAAAUUUCCCACCGACCAGGCUUGCUUCGGCCGAGGGGUCUUUUAUAUCUUCGAAAGACAAGGCAGUUUUGGAUUGCGCUAAAGAUUUCACAUGCUCACAGCCUUUUCUUUCCAAAACAGUAACAAUCCCCCUAGCGCCCGAAAAAGCACAAAUAUCUCCGCGGCUAUUCAAGAUUUCCUCGAAGGCCUCAGCUUCGUGACUGAUCCAUUCAAUCGGGCCUUCUGGAUUACCUCUUGUGAAAUUUUCUUCGCUAGAGAAUGCGCCAACGCUGGCGAAGCUGGAUUUUAUUUUCUUAGCACAUUCUAUCGAUUUGUCAUAGCACCUUUUCCUGGAUGCACGAAGCUCUUUAACAUUUAUUUCCAAAUGAUUUGUCCAUUGAUCAUUAAGUUCUCGUUUUGUCUCUUCAAGUAUGUGUUCUUCUUUAGCUCUGGCUAGCUGUUUCCGAAGAUCUUCAAUUUCGCGUUUUUGGGCUUCAGCUUGAGCCUUAGAGGUAGCUUCGUCUUCCUUUAUUUUAUCCACCAAUGUAAGCAGAAUUUUAUCUUUUUCCAAAGCUUCAUUCCUCAGCUUAAUAACCUCUGUUCGUAGGUUGUUGAAAGCAAUAUUGUAGCUCUCGUCUUCGGCAUUCUUUUGCGCUCUCAAAGCGUUGCUCAGUAUUAAACCCUAUAUGAAAAAGAAUUAGUAUAAGAAUAAAAGAAUGAUUCAAAAAUAAUAAAUUUCCAAAUAUACAAUUCUCACACCUUCAGGCUAUUAUAUGCAAGGCUAUCCGCAAGAUCGUCCUUCGUCAUAGCACAAAGUCCAGCUUCAAGCUUCGGAAACCCCAUACUUCUAGCCAUCUCCCGGCAGACAGAUAAUUCUUUGUUGUCUGGGAGACAGUAUAAGAAGUCAUCUUCGUCUGUGCCAUUGAACACUAAGGCCCCCUUCGGAUACUUCAGUUCUCGGGCAUAGUGGUUAGCUUCAAAAAUCUCUUCUUCAGAUAAUCUCUUCCCCGAAGCAUGUCGUACAAUAUAAUCACGUAUUUUGGAAGAUGCUUCGGGGGCAGCAGUGCCAGUUUCUUCACUCAAAAUUUGUUCUGCUAUACCUGUUUUUUCGUCUUACAAGGAUUUCACCUUGGCGGGCUCUGAAGGCCCGGCUUCAGUUUCAGACUGUGGCUUUGAAGCUUCGGCGUCAAAGGUUUCAGUGUACACUUCAGAAGUUUUAGCAAUUUUCUUUGGAGUUGUGCUUGAAGAUUUAAUUGUCUCUAAAACAUCUAGCACAUUAACCAUCCUUUUUCUUUUAGGGGUCACUGCUGGACCCUUAUGGCUUUUUGUUGCCUCAGUUUUUGCCGAAGGACUCAAGACUUCUGAUGUUUUUACUUCCUCAACCCUCGUUUCUUCUAUUUUUCAGUCACUGGCACUUCGGCCAACACUUCAAUAUUUGGUAGGGGAGCUGUCUCUUUAGCUUCGGUGGCCGAAGGAGUCCCACCGGCAAAUGCAGGCACUGUGGCCGGUUCAAUAUAACGUGGCCGGUGUGUGAGAACUUUUAUCCUUCUCCUCUUCGGCGCCGGCUCGCUAGGAGCGGCUGAAGCAGUUUCCUUCGCAGAAGAUGUAUUCUUUCUUUUUUCACCCCAUGCCGGAUAAUGGUAGUCGGGGUAGACAAACCCAAUUGCAUCAAAAACUCGAUUGAGCCUUUUCCUUUUUCGGCCUCCGAAGGCCGCCGAUAAUGCAGUAUCUUCGGCCUUUGAGUAUACACCAAGUAAUUCAUCACUGAUGGCCUCAAUACUUUUCAACCAGUCAUCAUCUGGCUCAACGAAUUUAUCUCCGUAUUUAAAUGUAUAUUUCAACCUGACUAGUCCACCUUCGUCAGUUUCUUUAAUGGUCUCCUUCGGCAUUUCCCAUUUUUCCACAAGUGGCCAUAUUCUGAAGGCAAUGUGUUCUUGGACUAAAUCCCUUGUCCUAAUAAAAUAACAAACAACACCGAAGGCUCUCUGGCAUUCUUCGGCUGCUUCAUUCAUUUCCACCUUCGGCCUUCGCAGGCCGAAGCGUUGCCAAAUGGGACGCAUGAUGAUCCUUUUUAUAUCUUCCCGUGAUUUCAAGUCAUUCUUCACGUAAAACCAUUCCGUCAUCCAGUCGUCGGGCCACCUCUUUCGAAAGGUCGGCACGGGGCAGCUUGACCCAGACUGGGAGCCGAAGCUGUAGCAGCCAAAAUUGUUGUGAUACUGUUCUUUACCCCCAGGGUUUUGUCUCGUACAGUAAUUCAUGUAUGUUGCAGAAACUUUUCGCAUUAGGUUCCAAACCUUGGCUUCUCACGGCCCACACAAAGAUAUCCAUCCUUAUGAUUGCUUCGGGGGUAAGUUGGUGAAGGUAGAUUUCAAAUAUCUUCAGUAUUUCUACAACAAAACUGCUUAAGGGAAAUCGUAGUCCAGCUUUCAAGAAGCUUCGAAAUACCACGACUUCAUUUUCCUCAGGAGUCGGGCAAGUCUUCUCUCCUUCAUCAGCCCUCACAAUGGACAAGUCCCAGAAAUAUCUGCCCCUCAUAUUGACAAGAUGAUUUUCUUUAAUACUUGAUUUACCAAAAACCGCAUGGCUUGGUCGCCAAGCUCGAUCUUCGGAGUCUUCACCACCACUAUCCACAUCAUAACUGUCACUGUCACCAGUAUCUUCAGAUAAACCCUCCAAAAUUUCUUUAGUAAUCUUCUCUGUAUUAGUCUUUGACAUUGAUUGAAGAAAGCCCAGAUGCAUCUCCUUAGAAAGACUUAGCUUCGAAUCACCAACAACUUUUUUAUCUUCAGACAUCCUUGCAAACGCUGAGAAAGUCCUCUCGAAACCGAAGCUUAAAAAUCUAAAAAGCCAAGCAAGUGUUGUUGCGCGCAGGCUAACAGUUGGGUGAGUAAAAGCAGUUGGCAAGAGAGCGUGCCAAAUAAACUUGUGAUGAGCUCUUAUUUAUACACCUAGUGCGUUGAAAACUGGAGGGUCCCGCUUGUCAAAGACUGUUGCUAUUCUAGCAAAGAGAAGGUGUUUUUUCGGACCUUCGGCUUAAGGCCUUCGUCCAUGUCGCAAUAUGAAUUUAUCAUUCCAGCAAAUUAAUAUUGCGAGGGGCUACUGUUGGGGGCCUUCGGCUUCCGAAGGUCCUCAAAAACAUGAUUUGACAAUGUUUUCCAAGUAUGCGAGCAGGCAGCUUCGGAAUCAGGUUACGGGUAAACAAGAGCAUGGUCAAGACGAAGCUUGACUGGGAUGGAAGGCGAUCAUGACGAAGGAUGAGACGAUCACGAAGCUAUAUGCAGAAAAGCUUCGGCAUGACAGCAGAAAAAGGGAACCGACUUAAAGAUGAAAAGCCAAAUUAGACCUCGAAGAAUUACUAUAGAGUUAUUGAUAAAAGUAAAGGGCAUUACUGUAAUUUUACACGGGCUGUGUCCCGUGCCUAUAAAUAGAUGAACAGUAUUCCCAUACUGUUCACGCUGACUUGGCAUUAGCAUCACGCUUGUACCCUUACUUUCCUUCAAGCCGAAGGUACAUUUGUAAUUUGUUGUUGUUUAUAUAAGUAAAAUAAAUAGAAAUAAAUUAAUAAUAAUGUUCAAAGUAAUCAUGCUAUUUUCCGUGUUUGUGUAUAAAUCUCUUUUAUCUUUUAUUAUGAUUAUGAAGGUGUGACCUUCAUAACCUUCGUCCGAAAUCCAUUAUAUCCAAAGGGAAAUAAUGCUUCGAAGGACGAAGGGCUUUGAUAUUUAACAUUUUAUGUUGCCUUGUUCUUAAUUCAUAGCAUUUGAGAACACAAGUCCCCAACAUCAUCCUUUUCAUGGAUAGCACUAAUCAAUUCAUUUAAUUUCUCUUUUUGUUGCAUGUUUAAGUUGGCAAAAAGAGUACGCAAAUUAUCUUACUCAUCACUAGCAUUAUCAUCGCUAGAGGACUCAUAUCUAGUGGAGGAUUUGGAUUUAACCUUCUUCUUUUUGCCGUCCUUUGCCAUGAGGCACUUAUGGUCGACGUUGGGGAAGAGAAGGCCCUUGUUGAUGGCAAUGUUGGCGGCGUCCUCGUCGGAGGAGGAGUCGGAGGAGCUCUCGUCCGAGUCCCAUUCGCGACAUAUAUGGGCGUCGCCACCCUUCUUCUUGUAGUAUUUCUUCUUCUCCUUUCUUCUCCCCUUCUUGUCGUCGCCCUUGUCACUGUCACUAGAAAUAGGACAUUUUGCUAUAAAAUGACCGGGCUAACCACACUUGUAGCAAACCUUCUUGGAGCGGUGCUUGUAGUCUUUCCCCCUCCUUUACUUGAGGAUUUGGCGAAAGCUUUUGAUGACAAGCGCCAUUUCCUCGUUGUCGAGCUUGGAGGCGUCGAUGGGUGUUCUACUCGGUGUAGACUCCUCCUUCUUCUCCUCUGUCGCUUUGAAUGCGACCGGUUGAGCUUCGGACGUGGAGGGACCAUCAAGCUCGUUGAUCUUCCUUGAGCCUUUGAUCAUAAAUUCAAAGCUCACAAAAUUCCCGAUUAUUUCCUCGGGAGUCAUUAGUGUAUAUCUUGGAUUGCCACAAAUUAAUUGGACUUGAGUAGGGUUAAGGAAAAUAAGUGAUCUUAGAAUAACCUUAACCAUUUCGUGGUCAUCCCAUUUUUUGCUCCCGAGGUUGCGCACUUGAUUCACCAAGGUUUUGAGCCGGUUGUACAUGUCUUAUGGCUCCUCCCCUUGGCGAAGACGAAAGCGACCGAGCUCCCCCUCGAUCGUCUCCCGCUUGGUGAUCUUGGUUAGCUCAUCUCCUUCGUGCGCGGUCUUGAGCACGUCCCAAACUUCCUUGGCGCUCUUUAAUCCUUGCACCUUGUUAUACUCCUCUCGACUUAGAGAGGCGAGGAGUAUAGUUGUGGCUUGGGAGUUGAAGUGCUCGAUUUAGGCCACCUCGUCCUCAUCAUAAUCCUCAUCCCCUACGGAUGGUACCUGUGCUCCAAACUCAACAACAUUCCAUAUACUUUUGUGGAGUGAGGUUAGGUGGAAUUUCAUCAAAUCACUCCACCUAGCAUAAUCUUCACCGUCAAAAGUUGGCGGUUUGCCUAAUGGAACGGAAAGUAAUGGAGUAUGUCUAGAAGUGCGAGGAUAGUGUAAGGGGAUCUUACUAAACUUCUUGCGCUCAUGGCGCUUAGAAGUUACGGAGGGCGCGUCGGAGCCGGAGGUGGAAGGCGAUGACGUAUCGGUCUCGUAGUAGACCACAUUCCUCAUCUUAUUUUUCUUGUCGCCACUCCGAUGCGACUUGUGGGAAGAGGAUUUCUUUUCCUUCCCUUUCUUUUUGUUGCGGGACUCUUCCGAUGAAGCCUUCCCAUGACUUGUAGUGGGCUUGUCGCCGAUGGGCUUGUCGCCGGUCUCCAUCUCCCUCUUGGCGUGAUCUCCCGACAUCACUUCGAGCGGUUAGGCUCUAAUGAAGCACCGGGCUCUAAUACCAAUUGAAAGUCGCCUAGAGGGGGGUGAAUAGGGCGAAACUGAAAUUUACAAAGUUAAUCACAACUACAAGCCGGGUUAGCGUUAGAAAUAUAAUCGAGUCCGCGAGAGAGGGUGCAAAACAAAUCGCAAGCGAAUAAAGAGUGUGACACGCGGAUUUGUUUUACCGAGGUUCGGUUCUCGCAAACCUACUCCCCGUUGAGGAGGCCACAAAGGCCGGGUCUUUUUCAACCCCUUCCCUCUCUCAAACUGUCCCUCUGACCGAGUGAGCUUUCUCUUCUCAAAUCAACCGGGAACAAAACUUCCCCGCAAGGACCACCACACAAUUGGUGUCUCUUGCCUCGGUUACAAGUGAGUAUUGAUCUCAAGAAAGAAUGAGAAAGAAGAAAGCAAUCCAAGCGCAAGAGCUCAAAAGAACACGACAAAUCACUCUCACUAGUCACAAAAGCUUUUGCGGAAUUGGGAGAGGAUUUGAUCACUUGGGUGUGUCUAGAAUUGAAUACUAGAGCUCUUGUAAGUAGUUGGAAGGUGGAAAACUUGGAUGACUUGAAUGUGGGGUGGUUGAGGGUAUUUAUAGCCCCAACCACCAAACUAGCCGUUUGGUGGAGGCUGCUGUCGCAUGGCGCACCGGACAGUCCGGUGCGCCACCGGACAGUGUCCGGUGCGCCAGCCACGUCACCAGGACGUUGGGUUCCGACCGUUGGAGCUCUGACUGUUGGGCCCGCCUGGAUGUCCGGUGGCACACCGGACAUGUACUGUAGAGUGUUCGGUGUGCCACUUCGCGCGUGCCUGACUUCUGCGCGCUCUGGCGCGCAUUAAUUGCUUCUGCAGGUGACCGUUGGCGCGAAGUAGUCGUUGCUCCGCUGGCUCACCGGACAGUCCGGUGUGCACCGGACAUGUCCGGUGAAUUAUAGCGGAGCGGAUUCCCGAAGCUGGCGAGUUCAGAGUCGCUCUUCCUUGGAGCACCGGACAGUCCGGUGAAUUAUAGCGGAGCGCCUCUGAGUUUUCCCAAAUGUGAAGAUUUUGACUUGGAGUUCCCUGGUGCACCGGACACUGUCCGGUGGCACACCGGACAGUCCGGUGCGCCAGACUAGGGCAGCCUUCGGUUAUCCCUUGCUCUCUUUGUUGAACCCAUUUCUUGGUCUUUUUAUUGGCUAAGUGUGAACCUUUGGCACCUGUAUAACUUAUAGACUAGAGCAAACUGGUUAGUCCAAUUAUUUGUGUUGGGCAAUUCAACCACCAAAAUCAAUUAGGAAAAUAGGUGUAAGCCUAAUUCCCUUUCAAGAGAGAUGUAUGGGUAUGGAGGACGACGAGAACUCACCGCCGCAAGAGGAGACGCAAGAGAUGUCCAGCCCUGAGAACACUUCAAGCCGCGAAGGAGAGAAGAAGACGACGUCUAAGCAUGGCGACAGUAAUGGUGAAAGGACCCCAAUUGACUGUCUCAUAUCCAUUUUGGAGUUUGUCUGACGGUUGCAUCUCUAAAACAUAGAAACCAUCGUCAACGCCUCUAUUUUAUCGAAACCACAUCUCUCUUGUUCCAUAAUGACAAUUCUUUGCCUUCCGGUGGCAGGGGUGACUGGGUGUGGCGCAUAACGCACUGCCGUUGCGGGCCUGUGGGCUGUGGCGGCUGCAACACUAGUCGCGUCUCGCGUGUGCGGCUAGGGUUCAGCACUCCUCUAUGUUCUCUCCUCUACAGCAGUCAGCGGUACAAGCGUACAGCCCAAGCGACCAAGCCCAAUACUCCAAAUCUCAAGCCCAAUGCACACACGUAGCCAUGGAUGGUCGGAUGGAGUGGAGUGGACUGUGGACCGAUCACCGAUGACCUGCAAACAGAAUGGUUUUAACGGGGCGAGUAGAUGGGUAUCGGGGAUGGGUAUUGGUUGACCAUGCCCGAACCUGCUAUUUUCGACCGAUAAUGAUUUUGUACUGUUUAGAUCCCUGUGGGGAUCAAAUUAACCCCACAUCAGUCUCCUAAUGAAGACAUUCACUACGAAGAAUCGGGGAUCGGAUCAUCAUUGUCAUCUCUAGUUUUUACCUGUCGUUUAUGUUUGUCUUUGUCAUUAAGUAAAAAAAUAUAAAAUCAUGACGUCAACCGUUUGCAUGAAUGGUAUCAAUAUUAUGUUUUAUCUAAAUUUUAUAUUUACAACAUAUGUUUGUAUACUAGGGCUGUCGCUUCGGAUUAAACCAGUUGUUUGAACUGCUACAACUAUAAUUUAUAGAGACAAAAAUACUGUAGCAGUAGAAGUCGAUAUGGAUCAAAGUCACAUGUGAAAGUUCUUGUGUACACUAGAUCAAACAUUGUUUAAUGAAAGUAAACGUGAAUCAUUUAUUAAGAAAUAGGGUAUAAAUACACCCUAUGGUAUAUACCAUCAUGUGUAUCUUCCACUUAAAAUACCGUGCAAUGAUGUUAGAGUUAUAUAUAUAUGCUCUAAGGUAAACAUUCUUAACCUUUAAAAGAUACUAACAAGAGCAUAAAAUGAUAAUUAAUGCUUCUGCAUCUCAAUAUAUCUUAUAAUUAUGUAGCCACGAGCAUACAACUAGUCUCUAUCUCUACUAUCUAUUAAGGACCUAAUAUGGGCGCCGGGUGCUACCACAGCUUCACCCUCCCUACACCCGGUGCCCACAAAAUAUAGUGCAAAACUAGCACUCGAACCCACACCCCUCUGCUAUAUAAAUUUAGGGCUAACCACUAAACCAUACGUACCUUAGUGUUUACAAAUAAACAAAAAAUAUAUUUGUAGCCUAGAUGUCGCUUCCCACGCUCCCCGUCUCGUGGCAAAAACAGUGUAGAACGAACACUCGAACCUACAAUCCUCUGAUCCACAAAUUUAGGAUUAACCACCAAACAAUAUGUAUCUUAUUGUUUCCAAAUAAACAAAAAUUAUAUUUAUAGCCUAAGCGUUGCUCUCUAUGCUCCUCUAACUCGUGGUAACGCACGAACACGUACCUGUAUUUAAGAAAACCAAAACAUUUUAUAAUUUUAAAAAGAACGCCCUCUCGAGCAUUUCGGAGGGAAAAAGGAAAACGAGGCAUAAAAUUAGGAGUGGUCUUUGGGGAAUUCUGUUCCGCAGAAUCCGAGUCCAAUAGCUCUCCUCCCCAGGGCUUUCAACUUCUCCAAACCCCAUCUCGCCGCCGAGGCCGAGCGAGCAGAGCAGAACACCACGUCGGCGGCUUUUCCCUGUCUCUCCGCUGGAUACUACACCCGCCGCCGCAGCGCCGAUCCUGUCCGAGUCAAGCGGAGCGGGGGAUCGGAUUGGUUGCUUCCUUCCCUCCAUCUCAUGUUGGUGGUAAGCAGGCCUAGCUGGUUCGGGUAGAUUUUCUUGUCUUCCCUAAGUUCUAAGCGGUGUUGUUGUUCCCCUGUCAUACCCAAACACAUCUUCGUUUGCGUUCGUCUAGUUGCUCCGCUCUGGAGUUGCGUGCUUCGUGCCCAGCUGGUAAUCGUAUGGCCCUUGCUGUUCUUGCUGCUGCUGUUGACUGUGCAGGAUGGACUAGUUUCAACCUUAGGAUCUCUUGCUACCUAAUUCAGGUGCGGGUGCAGCUUAAGUCGCAUAGAUUUUGGGUUUUCAGCUGAAAAUCACGUGUCCCAUGCCAGUUGCGCCCGUGCGUGGGGUUUUAGCACGGUUCAAUUGAGCUGUUUCAACAAAACCUUAUUAUUGCGCUCGUUUCUUGUACUUGCAGUUUUUUCUUCGUGCCUGUGUUUUCCGAUUAGAGUUACUUUGUUCCACGUUUAGUUAUACUUGAUUAUCCUGCGGACAACCUGAUAUUGUUUCCUUGCCACUGUCAUCCCAAUGUGCUGUUGAUAAACGAACGACAAUUUAUCUUAUCUAGUAUAGGAAAAAUCAAGUUGAUUGCCACUAGCUUUGGAUUAUACUGGUUGCUUGUGACAUUCAUUAUAUUUUAGGUUAAUUAUUGCAAAAGUAGAGUGUCAUGUACACGGUUAAUUAGAAAUAUGUCACUAAUUUUGAAAAGUUAGAAACUAGUUCAUUUUCAAGCCACUCCAUGGCAUCAAAAUGAACUAACCAUCUAAUUUUACAAAAGUAGAGUGGCAUGCAUACAAUUAAUCCUUAUAUUUAUUUUAUAUCUAUUUGUAUAAAGAGCUCGCCGUGGAUAGGAAGGGGUGGAAGUGUGCAAUUCACGUGCCAGAACCUUGAUUUAUAGUUUCGCUUUUCCUCCUUAAUCGUUUGACCUUUUCUUGUGCCCAUUUAGACCUUGCUGGUUCUUGUGGGUUUUAUCUCUUUUAUGUGUUCCCCCGUUUCGUCGUUUUCGGUUCUCCUUUGCCUUUGUUUCCCCUUUUUUCUUUGGGGGUUGAGCUCUGAGGUUUUCAUACGGGGUUUCAUCUCUAGCCUACCCCAACGUGCUUGGGACAAAAAGCUUUGUUGUUGUUGUUGUAUAUCCUGCAUAUUUUUUGCUGACAAUUUGGUAGAAUUAUAACAAUUAGUCCAAAAAUUGGAUUACUCCUUUUGAAACAUUAAUGAUUAUUUAUAUCAGACAAGAGGGUACCACACAAUCUAAAAGAAAGUUUUAUAGGGCGACCUUUAGACCUGCUACUGCUAUGUAUGUUGUAUGGUGCAAAAUGUUGGCCUACACAAAUGACAACAUGUUUAACAUAUAAGUGUUAUGGAAAUGUGUAUGUUGCAUUGAAUUUGUGGCCAUAUAAGAAGGGAUCAACCUGGAACAAUGAUAUACAUGAUAGGCUAGAAAUAGCAUCAAUUAAAGAAAAGCUUGUCCAACACCGGUUGAGAAUUGAGAUGGUUUGAACAUGUCCAACAGAUUCCUCCAGAAGCACCAGUGCAUAGUGGAUCCUAAGGCGCAAUAGCAAUCGUAAGAGAGACAAGGGAAGACCGAAGUUGACAUGGGAAGAUACAGUAAAAGAAGACUUGAAAGGAUGGAAUAUACCUAAAGAUUUAGCCUUUAAUAUGAGUGCAUGGAAGACAACUAUCCAUAUGCCUAAACCUUGACUUGUGGUUUAUGUUGGAUUUCAAUUCUAGCCUAUACCAGCUUGUUUGGGACUAAAAGGCUUUGCUGGUGAUCUGUAUUAGAUAAAUUUGAGCCUAUACUACUCAUACUGACAUUGUUAUUAAAACGUCGUUUAAACGACAAAACGUGUUUAAAAGUUGGAACGUCCGAACGUUUUAGGUUUAGGGCGUAGAACGUCCGUUUCGAGUGUUUAAGCGUCCAAAUAGCGUUUUAGGGCGUUUUAGACGUUCUACCCGUCCUGGGCCUUUCUUGGGCCUUUAGCAUUUUCUAGGUCACUUUCCUAGGCACUGGCCAGCGCUGGAUGCAGCGCCCUCACUCCCUUAGCCAGCCGCCGCUCUGCUCUCCUCUCUCCUCUCCUUAGCCACAGCCGGCCGCCGCUCUGCUCUCCUCUCUCCUCUCCUCAGCCACAGCCAGCCGCCGCUCUCCUCUCUCCUCUCCUCAGCUAGACAGCCAACCGCUGCUCUCUGGCGCCCACAGCAGCCCAGCCGCGCCCACAACAGCCCAGCCGGUAGCCGCUGCUCUCCUCAGCUAACAGACCACAGCAGACCGCCCUCGGCCCUCCACGAACUGUGGCACUGCGCCCACAGCAGACCAUAUUGGUGAGCACUGAUUUUGUGCAACCAUAUUGCCCAACAAUGAAUCAAUCAUUCAUGCUCAACCAUAUUGGUGAGUACUGAUUGUGCAACCAUAUUGCUCAUAGUGAAUUUCAAUGGCAACAAAUAGUGAGGCAAAUGACUCCUAUGACCCACUCAAAGAUCAAUCACGAAGGCCAACGUCAAAUGAUCCAGGAUGAUCUUUUUAUGCUAUUUGGUUUGUGAACUCAACUUAUGUAUGAACUUAUUCUAUAUUUGAAUUUCUAUGUCAAGUCUGAAAAGACGUUUCAACAUUCGUUUAAACGUUUAAAAGUUAAAAAGUUGGUUCAUAACGUUUUAACGUUUUACCGCUUUAAUAACCAUGCAUACUGACUUAGAUGUGUGUUGAUGGACACAAAAUGUGGUGGUUUCUCAAAUUUUUAGCGGGGGCGAUUGCAACACAAAUCUGCUUGUUACUUAAUAUAAUUUCUCCUUAGUCCUUACCCUGGAAAUGUGAUGAAAAGAGUACUAGAAACAAGAUUCAAUGUCAAAACUUUGAUGCUCUGUGCUAUACUGAACUCCCUGACUCCCUGUGAACUUUCUGAGGCCAUCUGUCUUACAAGUUACAACUUCCACCCAAUGCUUAACAAAUCCUAGGUGGCAUGCAUACUUGAAUCGUACUUGCGUUAUUGCAUGCAUUUGGAAUUUAAAUUGGCCUCUUCUUUCAAUAUAGGACCAUAAAUGAGCUAGUGUGCUAUGUAUGUUCACUGUACCAAAGUGUGACCAGGCUGGUUUUUAGGUGGAAAAGAGUGGCAUAACCCAAAAUGUGGUGGCCUCUGUAGUAUGCUUUUGCUUACGUAUGUGCUACUUGUUGGGAGAGCUCAGCACAUGAUGCUGUGGUUUCUUCUGGUGCCAGGAUAUGGCCUAAUGGUGUUAUCUCAUUAGGUAGUCUCUAGUAAGUAAUUACUCCAACCUAAUUAAGAUGGACUUUCUGCUUACCAGUCAAAUUUUUGCUUCUUGAUGUUACUAGAAAAAUGAUAAGUACUAAUUGAAGUAGUUCUUUUCUGUUGCUAAAUGAUAUAUUUUUUAACAAUAGCUGUUGAGUGCCAUUAGAGUGAAAUAUCGAGAAUAGACUGUCAGAAUUAAGUGCCCAUAGUUGCAGUUUUCUAAUCCACACACAAUCUUAUGCUGGUGUAAUGGUUGGUUGUUUACCUGAUGCUGUAUUUGCUAUUUCGUUAUAUGAUUUCCCUCUUUCUUCUGUCAAUAUAUUUUGUUUCUUCAUAGGACUGAGAGAUGGAGUUUUAAUUUCAAAUAGCAUCUAGAGGACUGCCACUAAGCUUUUAAGUUGGUAUAUAAUGGGUGGCUGUUGUUGCUGUUCGUCGAGAACAUCUGAAGCAGUUAGAGCACGAGCACCAGUUGAUAUAUAUGUAUGGAAAUUCGCUCUCUUUCUUCUCUACAUCAAUGUUACUAUCUUCCUUUUUGUGACACAAUCCAUACCAAAUAGCAUAAAGAUAAUGUCAGUGAGUCUGUCUUACAAUUGUCUUACUAUACUGUCAAAGAUGAAAUAGGCAAUCUGUUAUUGUACUCUUUAUGUUCUUUUAUGGAAUACGCAGGAGAACUGCUCAUCUUUGUAUUAAGAGAGAAAAGGGGGAUCCGGAACUUUGCCCCCUGCUCUGGACCAAGCAGAGAGGGCUGCCAAAACAAACACAACUGAGACUAACUAAACAGGCAAUAUGGGUAGAACCUGACCAACACUCAGAAAGCCACUAACUAGCCCACCCUUUGAACUGGAGUGAGUUCUUUAAGAUGUUUGGCUUUGGCAAAAUACCAAAGAUGGUGUUCUUCAACAAAUUGUGCAGGGUCUUCUGCAUGCUGCGCUGAAUUUUAUUAAAGAGAAUGGCAUUCCUAUGCUUCCAAAGAGAUCAAGCUCCUAGAAUGAUGACCGAGUUAAACUGCUUUCUUGACCAGUUUUGAGAGGUGCUCAGUUGCUCUCCUCCAUCAAUUAGCAAAAGAGGUCUCAACUUGACUUGAGGCUGUUGAGGCAAGGCCUAGCUUCUUCUUGGUCACAAAACACACAUUGCUGAGGGUGGGCAAGACCUUUGCUAGCCGGUCAGCCGUCCAACACUUAUUUCUAAUUUCUAGCCAUAGGAAGAUUUUGCACUUUGCUAUAACCCAAGUUCUCCAUAUAUGCCCCAUGGCUCAAAGGUCACAGAUUGUCGGAAGAAGGUCGAGUAGGCUGAUUUAACUGAAUAUUGCCCAGAGCUAGAGCAUGUCUACAUGUGUUGAUCUUCAUUAGCAUUGAGGGCCACUUCUUGGACAACAUCCCAAAGAUGAAAAAACUCAUAAAUACUAGAUGGAGAGAGAUUUCCUUGAAUAUCAGGGAUCCAUCAUUUGAUCCUCGAGAACCAUCAACUACUGUUCUUGUUUUUUUGAAUCUUGCUGAGCUCCUCAAACAGAUGGAGCUAUUUCAGCUAUAGAACAACCCAACGGCCACUUAUCAGACUAGAGCAGAGUUUAGACCCAUUACCCACCAUCGUUGACACAACAAUGGAGGAGAGAGCUAGGGCAUUCUUGUGGACAAGAAUUUCCACCCCUUUCCAAACUCUUGAAGACUCGGUUUUUUUCAAGCCAUAGCCAACGAAUUUGGAGAGCCCAACUCAUUCUUUCUAGAUCCAAAAUACCUAAACCACUGAGGUUGAUAGGUCUUUGUACUUCGUACCGUGCAACCAAAUAGGAUUUGCCAUCCAAUUGUUGUCUACCUUUCCAAAGAAUCUUCUCAAUUUGUCAAUAGCCUUGAUGAACCAUUUAGGGACCUUGAUGGCAAUAAGGACAUGGAUUGUAACAUCAGGGAUGACAAACCUCACCCAGGUGGCUCAACCGACCAUAUUCAUUAAAGUUGCCUUCCAUCCCGGAAGCUUGUUACUAGUUUUCUCAAUCCACUGCCAUAAAACUCUUCUUGUCAACUUCUUGUUAGAGAUAGGGAGAUCCAAAUAGAUACAAGGGAAUUCAACAUGAACAUAAGGGAGUGACUACUCCAUGGCUUGCACCUGGUACUGAUCACAUUGAACGGGGAUGGCACAACUCUCUUGCAUAUUAGUGUGAAGACCUGAGGCCUCUCCAAACUUGCUGAGAACAUUCCUCGUGAGUUGCAUUUCUUCUUCAUUUGGUUUAAUGAAUAGAACCAUGUCAUCAGCAUAAAUCUAUCGUUUGACCUUGAAAACCACAAGAGGUUGCAGCAAACCUAAGCCUCCCGCUUUAAGAAAGAGACUAUUAAGGACAUCCAUGACUAGAAUAAACAUCAUUGGCGAAAGGGGGUCUCCUUGAAGAAGACCUAUCCUAUGGCUGAUCUCCUUUCUAGUUUGCCUAUUAAGAAGGAUGCGAGUUGAGGCAGUGCCAAGCAGAUUAGAGACCAUGUUGCACCAAAUGGGACCAAAUCCUAUAUGUCUUAAACCUUCUAGCAAGAAUUGUCUAAGAGACCGAGUCAAAAGCUUUGGAGAUGUCCAAUUUUAGAAAAAAACUAGGAACCUUUUUAUUAUAAAGGUGUUUUAUUGUUUAUUGGACCAUGAGAUGAUGUCAUGAAUGCAACACUCGUUUAUAAACGGAUUCUGGUUGGCUGCCACGAACGUGUCUAGAUGAGGAGCCAACUUAUUUGCUAAGAUUUUCAUCACAAGCUUCACAAAGCUAUGGAUUAGGCUGAUUGGGUGAAAAUCUUUUGGAGUAAAAGCUUCAUUCUUUUUGGGUUUAAGGUAAGGUAAGCCAAGUUGAGCAACCACGGUUUUCUAUCAUCUCCCUGUUGAAGAGUAAUAAUUGUCGUCAAGAGUAAUAAUAAGGCAAGUUGAAAGCAACCAUAAUUUUCAUGCGCUCAGCCUUACCAUCCUGAGAAGAGGUGUAGGGACAGAACAUCCGGAGCUGUACGCCAUGGGAGAAGGAUCGAGCGGAGUUAUCAAACUCAUGAUCAUUGUUAUACUGGACAACCUUAAUGGUGCGACCAAAUUGAGUGAAAACCCACGCGAAGAAGUGUUGAAGAGUCGCAAAAGUAUCAGACUUUGAAUGCAAGUGAAAAGUCCACGGAUAAUGAGAGCAAUCAUCAAGAACCACCAUAUAAUAUUUAUAACCCAAAACACUAAUAACAUGAGAGGUCCACAAAUCAUAGUGUAUAUCUGUAUGAGAUCAAAAUUUUGCAUAGCCUGAGAGGAGCUAGAGAUGACUGAACUACUACAUAACUUGUACAACAUAUCGGGGCUAGGAUAACCGAGUUGAUGAUGCCAAAUUGCCAAGUGCUAGAGGUAGCGGGAGUAGUUAGUGUGUGCGACUGCAGCGAGGACGAAGACGACGAUGUAGUAGAAGCAAUAGGUGGAGAAGUGGACGUAGGCAACCGCAGGUUGUACAUGGGCUGGAGCUAUCACAUCGGACAAGAAGGCUUUGGGCAGCGAGAUCCUUCACAGACAAGCCAAAAGGAUCAAACUCAAAUAGAUCAAGAGGUAUAAGUGGUAAAUUCACGAAUAGAUAAAAGAUUUUGUAUGAUAUGGGUUGACAAGAACAUUGCGAAGAUGGAAAGGCUUGGGAAGAACUGAAUCACCUACAAAUGGGGAUAAUGUUCCCAUUGCCCACAAUGAUAGAUGAAGGACGAGACAUGAGGUGGGUGAGAAGAAGAAAUUAUUUCAGUGUCUGGAGUGGUGUGGUAGGAUGCACCAGAAUUAGCAACCCAGUCAGUGACAACAGGAGUCAGGGUCAUCAUGCUGAAGGAGCUAGCAAGUGACAGCUGAUCCCACCUGUUGCAGUAUAGAAUACAAUACCCUAGCUGCAGGAGUACAAGAUAUGGAACCCUAGUGGGCCAGACCUAUAUACACAGAUACUCUAACACCCCUCGCAGUCGAAACUCUAGCCACUGCAGAUGUUGAGACUGGAUCGAAACUCCGUGAACACCACUGAUGGGAGCCCCUUGGUGAAGACGUCGACGAACUAGGAGGUGGUCGGGACGUGAAGAACGCGAACAGCUCCACAGGCGACCCGUUCGCGGACGAAGUGAAGGUCGAUCUCGACAUGCUUCGUGCGCUGGUGUUGGACGGGGUUGGUGGAGAGGUAGACGGCGCUGACGUUGUCGCUGAAGACCAGGGUGCUCGUGGCCAGCGGGCUGUGGAGCUCAUGGAGCAACUGACGGAGCCAAGUCGCCUCAGCCACGCCAUUGGCUACGACGCGACACUCGGCCUCAGCGCUGGAGCGGGAGACAACCGGCUGGCGCUUCGACGACCACGAGACGAGGCUGUUGUCGAGGAACACGGCGUAGCCCGAGGUGGACCGACGCAUGUCUGGACAGCUCGCCCAGUCGGCAUCGUUGUAGACGCGAAGCUCAGUGACUGAGGACCGGCGUAGAAGGAGACCGAAGUCGAGAGUGCCUCGCAAGUACCGCAGGAUCCGCUUCAUCGCGGUGAGAUGCGGCUCCCGAGGGUCGUGCAUGUGGAGGCACACCUGCUGGACGACGUAGGCGAUGUCGGGCCUGGUGAAGAUGAGAUAAUGAAGGGCCCCGACAAUACUCCGGUAGCCGGUGGGAUCGGCGACCGGUGGGCCGGCGGCGGAGAGUUUGCCUUGUGUAUCCAUCGGAGUCUCGCAGGGCUUGCAUUCAACCAUGCCAGCGCGUUCAAGAAUGUCGACGGUGUACUGCUGCUGGUGGAGGAACAGGCCCAGGAGACGGCGCUCGACGGUGACCCCCAGGAAGUGGUGGAGUGCCCCCAGGUCCUUCAUCGCAAACUCCUGCUGGAGGCAGGAGAUGAUGCGACGCAGAAGCUCAGGGGAGGAGGCGGUGAGGACGAUGUCGUCGACGUAGAGGAGGAGGUGUGCUGUAUCUGAGCCGGGACGGAGGAUGAACAGGGACGUGUCCGACUUGGCCUCGACGAAACCCUGCGAACACAAGAAGGUGGCGAAGCGACUGUACCAAGCCCGGGGGGCCUGCUUGAGGCCGUAGAGGGACUUGUUGAGCUUGCAGACCAUGUCGGGGUGAGCAGGGUUGACAAACCCAACGGGCUGCUGUAUCUGAGCCGGGACGGAGGAUGAACAGGGACGUGUCCGACUUGGCCUCGACGAAACCCUGCGAACACAAGAAGGUGGCGAAGCGACUGUACCAAGCCCGGGGGGCCUGCUUGAGGCCGUAGAGGGACUUGUUGAGCUUGCAGACCAUGUCGGGGUGAGCAGGGUUGACAAACCCAACGGGCUGGGUGCAGUAGAUCGUCUCCGUGAGGGUGCCGUGGAGGAAGGCGUUCGUCACGUCGAGUUGGUGGACCGGCCAGUCCCUGGAUAGUGCCAGAGUCAGAACAGUCUGGAUGGUGGCAGGCUUGGCCACCGGACUGAAGGUCUCGUCGUAGUCGACCCUAGGGUGCUGGGUGAAGCCCCGAAGCACAUAACGAGCCUUGUACCACUCCAGGGACCCGUCGGCGUGCAACUUCAGCUUGAAGAUCCAUUUCCCGGUGACCACGUUGGUGCCAGGGGGAGAAGGCACCAAGUCCCAGGUGUGGUUAGCCUGGAGAGCCUCGUACUCCGCUUCCAUGGCGCGCCACCACUGUGGGUCGGCAAGCGCACCACUGACAGUCGUGGGUACCGGCGGAAGAGCCGGAGAAGAGGUCGCGGAGAGAAUUAGGCGAUCAGGCGGCCGAAGGAUACCGGCCGCGCGCCUGGUGACCAUCGGGUGGAUGUGUCGAGGAUCCCGGUGGACGAUGACGGGGUGAUAGGUCGGGGCCUCAGCGCGAGAGCGAGUCGGGGUACCGCGUCGACCACGACGCUGGUACGUCUAGAUGGGGUCGGUGUAGCGAGACGACGGAGCGGUGUGGGAUGGUGCAGAAGGCGCCGGUGCCGCACGGGGCUGUGCGGGAGACGUGGGGGUCGCGCGAGGCGACAGAGGGGACGCUGAGGCCGCACGUGGUUGUGCGGUGGAGGGCGGUGCUGAGGACGCCGAGGCCGCACAUGGUAGUGCGGGGGUGGGCGGCGCAGGCAGGGCCGCGCGAGGCGACUCAGGGAGCGCCGGGGCCGCACGUGGCUGUGCGGGGGUGGGCGACGCAGGCAGGGCCGCGUGAGGCGACUCAGGGAGCACCGGGGCCGCACGUGGCUGUGCGGGGGAGGGCGUCGCAGGCAGGGCCGUGCGAGGCGGCGAAGUGGACGAACCGGCGGGAAACGGGGGCAUGAUUAUGGGGACACAUGGUCGAGGUCGGGGGACACGUCGAGCUCGGGGGACACGUCGAGCUCGGGGAGAGGCAGCGGGAGAGGAGGAAAAAGGGAAAUCCGACUCGUUGAAAAUGACGUGACGAGAGAUGAGGACUCUGUGGGAUGUGAGGUCAAGACACCGAUACCCCUUAUGGUCGGGGGAGUAGCCGAGGAAGACACAGCGAGUGGAGCGAGGGGCGAGCUUAUGAGGAGCAGUGGAAGCGAGAUUGGGGUAGCAAGCGCACCCGAAGACACGAAGAUUGUCGUAAGAGGGAUGGAUGCCGAAGAGAGCGUAGUAAGGAGUGGGGUGGGCAACUGCCUUGGUGAGGAGACGGUUGAGGAGGUAGGUGGCAGUGGCGAGGGCCUCAGGCCAGUAUCGAGCGAGAAGAGAAGCCUGAAAAAGUAGAGGGCGCACGAAAUCGUUCGUCGUGCGAAUCAUACGCUCAGCCCGGCCGUUCUGAGGAGACGUGUAGGGGCAUGGCAUGCGGAGGUGGACGUCGCGAGAGAGGAAGAAGUCACGAGACACAUUGUUAUAAAACUCGUGUCCGUUGUCACACUGGAUGCUUCGGAUGGUGCGACCAAACUGAGUGGAGACCCAGGCGAAGAAGUGAGACAGGGUGGGAUAAGUGUCAGACUUCUGACGUAAAGGAAAAGUCCACAUAUAAUGCGAGAAGUCAUCGAGAAUGAGUAAAUGAUACUUAGAUCCAGAAAUGCUGAUUACAGGAGAUGUCCAUACAUGGGGACCUAACUGACAAGCAUGACAGAGGUGCUCAAAAGAUCUCCUACAACCUGAACCAGAGGUGCUGCUGGAGAGCUUGGACAUCACCUCGUGGCCGGGGUGACCAAGACGACGAUGCCAAGUCACAGAAGAGGCGGCCGCAGCAAGGACAUGUGGGGCAAAAGUCGAUGUAGGGGAAGCAGGCAGGCGGAGUGUGUAGAGCGGCCCGGGGCUGUCACACCGAGCGAGAAGGGUCCUGGUGGCAAGAUCCUUCAUAGAAAGACCAAACGGGUCAAAUUCCAUGGAACAAGAGUUGUCAGUAGUGAACUGACGGACGAAAAAAGAUUUUGAAUGAUGUGGGGGGCAACAAGAACCUUGGAUAAACGGAAAGGACCGGGAAGGACCGCGUCACCUACUGAGGUGACGGGAAGGGCAGAGCCGUUUCCAACCACGAUGGAAGAAGGAAGGGAAGGGUGGGGGGGGGGAGAGGUGGAGGACAGAAUACCUGCGUCCGGGGUGGUGUGGUAGGAGGCACCGGAGUCAGCCACCCAGUCAGAGACCGAGGUGGGUGGGGCCAGCGUCAUCGUGGAGAAGGAGUUGGCGAGAGACUGCGUGUCCCACCCAUUUGUCCAGGGCCCCCACACGGGCUGGGUCGGAGGCCCCGGAAGGGGAAGGAGCCCCUGCUGAGGCUGAGGAGGUGCCGAGGGCGCUGCCGGAGGUGGAGCGGCAAAGAAGACCUGCUGAGGGGUGGUGGGGCGAGGGGCCGAGGCACCCGCGGACGGCCCAGGCUACAUGUGGAUGGUGCCAGUCCACGGGUUGUAGACAGAUGGCCACUGGGAACCACCUGUCGUGUCACUGGAUCCACUCUUGCGACCACGUCCGCGACCUCCCCAGAGCCAUUAGGCUGCCGAAGAGUUCCAGGCGACGGGGGACCGAAGUGCGGUGAAGAGGAACCCCCCGGAGGCAGAGGGGCAGCCCGAGGAGCGCUGUAGAGCGCCGUGGCGGGAGCGGCGGUCGCAGUGGCAGAGAGGCGAGGCUCCUCGAGAAGCAGAUCGUUCUUGGUCUCCGCAAAGGUUGGAAAAGGCUUCAUGCGGGUAAGAAUGGGCGUCACACGAUCGAAGCGAGGGCUCAAACCGCGGAGGAGGUUGAGCACGAGGCACUCGUCGGUGAUGGGGGCCCCGAGGGUGCGGAGAGUGUCCUCCAUCGUCUUCAUCUGACGGCAGUACUCGUCCACAGAGAGAUCGCCCUGAGCAAGCUGACGGAAGGGGAUCUCGAGGUACAGGAUCCGAGUCUGGCGGUGGCCGAGGAACUGAGCCUCAAGGGCACCCUAGAUCCGGUGAGCGGUAUCGUCCGGCACGCGAACGAUGUCCUGAAGUUUAGCCGUGAGGGUGCCAUGGAUCCAGGAAAGCACCACCUCGUCCAUCAGAAGUCAAUCCUCUGACGGGUCAGGGACCGCUGAGAGGACGUGGUCGGCAAGGGCGUAGCAGCGGAGGGUCUGCAGGACUUGGUCGCGCCACCGGGGGUACUGAGUGGAGUCCGGCGCAAGAACGUCGGUGACGGUUGCCCGAAUGCUGGUGAGGGCCGCCGCCUGAGCGUGAAGAGAACCGCGAAGGGUUGAGGCCGGGGUUGGCGUGGGCUCGAAGGUGUCGGCGCUAUGGCGAGCGGACGUGGGGGAGCCAUCCGACAUGCCCUUGCCGGCGAGACGGUGGUAGGUCUCGGCGUACUGACGCUCGAUGGCGUCGACAACCGCCUGCUUUUGCUCAAGAGCACGAGCGUCGUCCUGGGCCCGCUGGCGAGCAGCUGUAACGGCUGCCCGGGUGGCGGCGAGAAUGGCAGCAACAUCAUCCGAAGGAGCGCACAGGGAGGAGGUGAUGGCGGACAACUGGCUGUAGACAGUCGUCGGCAGGGGGCAGCUACGCACGGGAGCCCCGCCAGUCGUGUCAAGUGGGACAUGUGGAAACCCUGGCGCUAGCAGUUGGGAGCGAAGCAGGGCGGCAUCCGGCAGGGAGAGCACAGGAGCCGGCCGAGACCCGUCGGGGCUAGGGGCGGCCGCGAGUGUGGCGGAUUGGGUCGGCGCGGGCCGGGGUGGCCCGACGGUGGGGGGCAGCCUAGUAGUGAUGACGGAGGCGUGCCCCGUCGGUGCGCCGGGAGCGGCGAUGGGGCGCGCAAGGGCGGAGACAACAGAUGUGGUGGGGAAGGGCGCCGCAGGGGGCGCGGUGACUGCCGUCGGCGUGCUGACCACAUAGGGUAGGGUCGCCAGGGACGCAGCGGUGCGCGGCGGUGCUCCUGCCGCAGAGGGGAGGGGUGCCGGAGGGGUGGUGGGUACCGACAGCACGCCGGCCGCAGGGGAGACGAGCACCGGAGGGGCGGCGAGGCCCGGCGGCGCUUCUGCCGUGAGGGAGCUGGUCGCCGGAGUGACGGCGAGAUCCGGCGGCGAGCCGACUGCGGGGGAGGAGACCGCCGUGGGCGCGCCGGCCAUGGGGAAGAUGGCCGCCGGGGGCGCGACAAGAGCGGCACGGUAGGAGAGAGGAAGGGGAGGGAAGGGCUCGCCGGCGCGUGGGGAGAAGGGUGGGGCGGCGACCGACCCGCCAUGGAGGGGCGGCGGCAGCUGGAGGAAGGGUGGGGGCGGCGGCUGUAGGAAGGGAGAAGGAAACCUAAAGCUCUGGUACCGUGUUGUAGUAUAGAAUACAAUACCCUAGCUGCAGGAGUACAAGACUAUAUGGAACCCUAGUGGGCCAGGCCCAUAUACACAGAUACACAGAUACUCUAACACCACCCACCAAGCCGCGAGUUCCAUAACGGAACUAGUGGGGUGGUAGGGGUAGAAGCGGUGGCUAAGGUGCCGAUGGCAUAGAGGGAAAGGGGCCAAGAGGGUACCUCGAGCCGUGCAUCGUCAGGUGAGCUGUUUGGGGUGGAGGCAGAUGCGGGGAAGGUCUACCAGGGGAUGGGCCGGUCCACAUGGAGACGCGACUAGUCUACGGGUUGUAGAGAGAGGGCCAAGGAGUGUCCUCUUGACCACCCUUGUUGGUUCGCUUUGGGGCCAAUCACCAAACGAACCCUAGGGCCGGCGCACGACGUGUAGGACCUUGUGGUUCUCUCUACGGGAGCGUGGACUGUCCGCACUUGGUGGCCGGACCAUCCGCUACUGCGCAGAGGGGCUUCAGUCUUCCCUGCUGACGCGUGGACCGUCUGUGAUUGGGCAGUGGACCGUCUGCGUGUGCGCAGAGGGCUUCAAGAUCUUCAGCACCUAGAUCUCGCCCCUCGGGAGGGACCCCGUCAGGGAGGAAAGGUCCUAGGGUUGUCUUGGGGUCGGCAGACCACCCAAGACGCCUCUAGGCGACAUAGAGUCGAGGAUGGGUGAAGAUUGUGGAUGAGAAAGGCUAAUUACUUCUACUCCUAGGGCAAGAAACGUAAAGACAAUGAUAAUAGAUUGAUUUGGAUCGAUUGUGUUGUGUUCCAAUCGGUCGUACCCCUUCAUAUAUAUAGUGGGGAGAUCUGGACCUGUUCCUAGGCGUAUCCCAACAGAUUCUUGUGCGAUUAGUUGGAUAAACACGCAUGAGAUAAGGAUUCCUGCCCGAGUUAAUCUGAUCGCGGACCGUUCGAGCUAUACAUGCGGAUCAUUCGGGGCGUGGACCACCCGGGCCACAUGGCCGGACCGUCCGGCCUUCCCCAGGUGCCACAAAUGGUGCUCAACAACCCUCACCUCCACGUCCACCCUACCAUCGAUAGCGACCACUACCCAUAGACCCCGCAUUCCCCUAGGUCCGGACUGGGAGGGAGGGUGCGUGUAGCCAGAGGCCGAAGGGAUAGACGAGCGCGACCACGAGCCCCCAAGGUAGGAGUGGAGGAGGGUGGUCGCAAGGUCUGGCCCCGGGGGUGGAUCUGUAGAGAGUGGUAGCGGCAUCGAAGCGAGGAGGUGCCCCCUUGGUGAGCUCCUCGAGGAUGAUGUUAUUGCAGACCUUGGCGAAAGACAAACAAUAUCGAAUGUAAUCCAAGUCCGGAGGUGAUGGUAGCGCUUGUUGAGAUCACAGAGAAGGUCGAGGACGAGCGUGCAAUCGGAGACAAGCACCCCGAGGUCACAAAGGGAGGCCACAACGCCUUUCAUCUAGCAGCAGUACUCAGUGAUAGAGAGGUCCUCUUAGAUGAAAUCUGGAUGGCGACAUUGAGGUGGAGAGCUUGAGUCUUGCGGUUGCUGAGGAACUGCUCCUCGGUGGCAACCUAGGCCUGACGAGCAGUGCCACCACGCUCGUGAAUGAUAUCUUGUAGUUCAACAGUAAUCGUCCCGAUGAUCCAAGAGAAGACCACACUAACCGUCUGACGCUAGGAGGGGGAUAGUGAGGGACACUAUGUCCGUGAGGACGUGGUCGUCCAGGACGUAGCACUGUAGGGUGAGGAGGACGAGGUCCUACCAACAUGCUUAGGUGGAGGAAGUCGGAUCGAGGAUGACGACAACCAGAGAGCGGAUGUUCUAGAUACCCGUCGCCUAGGCAUGGAGGUUGGCGAUGACGGCAACCUCGUGCGCCAGGGGGGUGGUCAACCACUUGGGGUUCUGUGAGAGGGUCGAGGCAGGGAGAGCCAAGUAGAUGGCUCUUAGCCUCAGCAUGGUAACAUGCAUGGGUAUUGACGACAAUCUGUUUGUGCUCCCAGCCUCCCAGACUAGAGCAGCGACACGUUCAUGCUCCCGAGCAAUAGCCACAACCGCCUUAGCAACCAUGAGGGCUGCAACUAGAUUGGAGUGGGCAAUCACGAUGUCGGGUGCGGAGCAGGAUGGGGCGCUCGGUGCGGGGGAGGUCGUGCCUAGGACAGUAGCGUCAGGGCCGAGGCCAGCUAGGCCAAAGGUAGCUAGGCCCGUGCCCAGGCGAGGGGUGGCCAGGUCAGCAGCGCCCGGGCCGGGGACACCAAGGCUCCGCUGUGCGGUGGAGGCGGGGGCGGGCGAUGGUUGAAGGUCAGGGAAGGCGGUGGUGUUGGUGGAUGAGUGAAGCCCUGUCUUAACCGAGGACCAGCAUUCAGCAACGAGGUAGAAGAGAGCCAAGGGGAGGAGAGCCUGCUGUGUGGAGAGGGGGCCGCCAGCCAUGGUGGUUGUGGCCUGGGAGUGACUGAUGGCGGUAUGGGGUAACUGGCAGCUGGGGGAGGGGAGGAGGGAGGAAAGAGUGGUUGGAUACCAUGUUAGAGGAAGUGAAACCCUAAUUCAUUGAAUGGUCUGAGUAGUACAUAUAUCAGAAUUACAUGGGCUGGGCUCUAGCCUCAUAACAUUUAAAUAGAAAUACAAUAGUCUAACAUGAUCCAUUAAGUUCAGUCCAUGGAGAAGAAUUUGGAAAAGUUGGGCACCUCUUCGGUGCAGAUUCUUUCUGUGGCUUGCUAAGAAUAAUCGAUGUUGGACAGUGGAUCGUCUUGCCAAAUGUGGUCUCCGUCACCUGGAGGUCUGUCCCUUGUCUGACCAAGUUGAUGAGACCCUCCAACACAUUCUCCCUCGGUUGUGUCUUUUCCAGUCAGGUCUGGGUCUUGAUCCUGCAAUCUUUGAACUUGGCUGACAUUGCCCUCUUGGUGGCUGAUUCGUGUUUUUUCCCUGGUGGGCACUGGGCACUCUCUGUCAAGCUGGUGCCCAAAAUUAUGCUUAAGGGGCUUAACACACACUGUAUUUUAGUGGCCUGGGAAAUCUGGAAAUUCAGAGGCAUGAGUCUUUGGGUAUUUUCUCUUCUAGGUCCUACUACAUGGUUCUGUUUAUGGGCUUCAUCACCUUUGAACCAUGAAAAAGACUUUGGAAAUCUUGGGCUCCUCCAAAAUGCAAGACCUUUUUAUGGUUGGCCAUGUAGAACAAGUGUUGGACAGCUGACAGACUGCAAAAGAGGUCUUCCUCAUCCGGAAGCAUGCCCUUUUUGUGACCAAGAGCAAGAAACGGUACAACAUUUGUUGACUAGUUGUGCCUUCACCAGGCAGUUUUGGUACAACAUUCUCUCCCCCUUUGGUAUGGGCCGGCUCACUCCCGGGCCAGAGGAAACUACACUUGCUGACUGGUGGAGAGAAGUGGGCAAUCGAGUGCACAAAGGCUUUAGAAAGGACGUCAAUAACGCCAUUAUCUUGGGAGCAUUGCUUAUGGUUACAUCAAAACAUAGUUAUUUUCGAUGGAGAAUCUCGGACCAUUGGCAAGGUGCAGAGAAGCUUCCUAGAUGAGCUAGCUUUAUGGGUCUUGGCUGGUGCCAAACACCUCUGGAGCCUAGCUCUUGCUGCUGCUCGUAGUGCAGCAAGGUUGUUUUAGUAAUUUUUGGUCGCCCUUUUGUACCUUUCCUUAUGGAUCCAUUUAUUUAUGCCUAUUGUUGGCCACCAUAGGGAGGCUUUUGUACCGGUCCUCUUGGACCUUAAUCCCUUUCUUCUUAAUAUAAUGAGACACAGUUCUCCUGCGUUUUUCGAGAAAAAAAGAAACCUGUGUGUGUUUAAGGGCUCCCAGCCAAAUAUUCAACUCCUCCAUAGAAUAAGAAGUGAGGGCCUUCUUUCGUGUGCUGCUGGAGCUUCUGAGUUGCAUGAGCUCCUUAGUAGGUCGCUAACCCCAGCUGGUUAGGUGUUGGAAGUCCUGGUCAUUUAUGUUGUUUCUUAUGUAAAUCCCCUUAGGGGCAUGUAUUGUACUCAGGUUGGGUAGCUUUGACCUUUUCCAACUGUUUUCCUACUAAAAUGAAAUGACACACAGCUCUUCUGCGUCGUUCGAGAAUUUUUUGUUACACAGUGUGCAUUUGUGCUAUUUAGUUUAAUAUAGUUUGUUAAUUGCAAAAUUUCCAGUCAUAAUUCAUACUUCAGUUGACCUUGAUAUAGCUUCAUGUGUUUAUUAGCCUUACAAACUAUUAAUUACCUUGCUUGUUAUUUAAGUUUUCUUAGAUUUUCUUGUUCUAUAAUUCAGCAUCAACAAAAUCUUGAGGAGCAGGAGCCAUUGUCUUCAAUUUUUGAUGGAUCAUCUCCAGCCUCUGCAAUUGUUGCAGUAGACACAAAUCUGGAUACUUCCACACCUGACACAUAUCGAGCGCCGCCUGCACCCUUGCCUUAUGAUGUUAUUUUGGCAGUCCCAAAUAACCCUGGUAAAUAAUUGACUAGCAGUUAUAUGACUGAUGAUUAUUAACUAUUCUUACUGUCUUAAUGGUUGAUCUUAGGUUUUGGAAACUCUGUAGGUUUGGAGAAGCCAGACACUAAGAGCAAAACUGAUGACCAACAAGAGUCCAUAAAUGAUCAGGAGUCUUUAAAGGUGGAUGAGUCAUGUAAGAAAAGUGUCACUGAAGAUAAGGCUGAUGAGGAGGAUGUUUGCCCUAUCUGCCUUGAAGGUUGUGUUUCUCUUGUUCACUGAAAAAUUUAUUUGCAUAGUUUUUUUUUCUUCCUCAAACACGCAGGAGACCUGCGCAUAUUCUAUUAAAGAAAGCUGUCCCCUCACGAUCCUUACAAACAACCAUUCUAACUCCCACUAAGAGACCAGAAGGGUUGUAACACUGAGAAAAAGAUCUCCCAAGCAAACUAGGCUAACGACCCAAUAAAGACUACAUCUUGCUGCCAUCACGAUCUAGGCCCAGGAAUUAGAGCUUUUUGGCUCCAACAAGACCCCAAAUUUUCUCAACUCUCCCUUGAAGAAUUUAUGUGCAAUCUGUAAUUCUGUAGGGAGGUGGGAAUUCCAUAAGGUUCAAGCCCCCAAAAUCACAGUGCUAUUAAAUUCCUUCCUUUGAGCUUUGUUAAUGUGGCAACUUGCUUCUCUCCACCAUUCAACAAAGCUUGGUUCAGAUUGCCUGGGAGUAACACACCCAAGACUAGCAGAUGCUAGUACCAUGUCCUUUUGUUAGCGUGAUGUAUAGGACCACGGGCCCAGGGGGGUUCGGCUGCAACCCUAGGGAGUGCGGCUGCUGUCGCCUCCCUCCCUGGUUUUGGUAGUGUUGGUUAUGUUUGGCAAGGAUUCCCUAGAUUAGCUCUUUCCUUUCUAGAUUAGAUCUUUCCUAUUCCUGGGACAUCCUUGCCUAUAUGUACUGAGCCUUGGGCUCCCUCCAUAAUCAAUCUACUAUCUUUCCCAGCCAUCCUCUUUCAUGGUAUCACGAGACCGGGACUUUUCUCUCUCGCCCUUCCGCUGCCCCUGCGCACACUAGCUGUGCAUCGGUAUGGUUGGGACUCCUCCCCCCUCCCUCGUCGAUCCUGCCGAUCAGCCUCGCCAAGACGGGAUGCUCCUUCGCAGACCAACGCCGAGGCUCGCCGCGCCCUCCGCGAGGCUGCUCUGGCCGCCGCUCAGGCAGUUGAGCAGGAAGUCGCCGACGCCUCCAACGAGCGCGACGCCGCCGCGGAGCGCGUCCGCGCUGCCCUCGCUCGGGCGGUCAAGGCCUGGGCCGCCGCCGCCGCCGCCGCGGUUGAUCGCGUCGAACAGCCUCACGCGGGCGGCGAAAUGAGUGUCACCCACGCCAUGGUGCUCCACGAGGCCGCUGCCGUCCUCAACCUCCACGCUCAGGCGGUCUCCGUGCAGAACGCACGCAGCCUGGUGCUGACCGUCCUCGACACCGCCGACAACUACCCCCUACCCCCGUUGGCGCGAGCAGUUCCUCCUCGCCGUCACCAAAUACUCGCUGCUAGACCACGUCCACAGCGACUCCGUCUCGGCCCUUGCUGACUGGACUCGGAUGGACGCCGUCGUCAAGUCAUGGCUCUACAACACGGUCUCCGCUGACCUCGCCGACGCCAUCGACUUGGGCGGCGAAGCGGAAUGUGGAGCUCGUGGAGGAGCUGGCGUAGCCAAGAAGCCUCAGCAACACCAUUGGCGACAUCGCGAUACUCAACUUCUGCACUAGAGCGAGAGACAAUAUUCUGACGCUUGGAGGACCAGGAGACCAAGUUGUCGCCGAGGUACACAGCAUAGCCCGAGGUGGACUUGCGCGUAUCGGGACAGCCAACCCAGUCAGCAUCAGAGUAAACCACCAAAUCAUCUCUCGUCACGUUGUCUUCGACGAGUCCACCUUCCCUUUCGCCGAGCAGCCCUCACCGCCCACGGCUGCGGACUUCACCUUUUUAGAUGAAUUCUCUAACUCGACAGUCCCUCCUAUAGGACCGCCGACCAUGUCUUCUGCAGGAUCUCCAGGUUCUCGUGGUGCUGUUCUUUCUGCGCCCCCAGUCCCCCCGGGGUUCCUCGCACUCCCGGGUGCUGUGCCACGCGCGGCCUUGACUCCCUCCUCGCCGAUCGAGGCGCUGCUGUCCUCGCCACGACCAGUCGUGACCUCGACCACUCCCGCGCCACGCGCGGCCACGCUGGCCUCCUCCGCACUCCCACGCCGGCCUCCUCCGCACUCCCACGUGCGGGACAGCCGGGCUUCCCCGCGUUGCCACGCGCGGCACCGUCUCCACCAGGCGCGCAGCCCCCAGUUCUGCGCGUCUACUCCAGGCGCCCCAAGCCAGUCGCCCCAGCACUGACUGGACCGGCUCCUGCGCCAGCCCCUGCAGCACCGGCUGCUCCUCCAGCACCCGUCCCUCUUCCCUGGGGUGCUGUCGCCGUCCCACCCACGGUCAACCAGCAUCACAUGGUGACUCGGGCCAAGGACGACUUUCGCUUGCCGGUGCUGUACCAUGCUGCGCCCCUGUCUCCGGUUCCGAAGACCUUCCAUAGUGCCCUUGCCGAUCCCAAUUGGUGGGCUGCUAUGGAGGAAGAGCAUAUAGCGCUUCUCCAGAACCAGACUUGGGACUUGGUUCCUCGGCCCCGACAUGCCAACACUGUCACGAGCAAGUGGAUCUUGAAGCACAAGUUUCACGUCGAUGGUUCUCUGGAACGCUACAAGGCUCGUUGGGUCCUUCGUGGUUUCACCCAGCGUCCUGGCGUUGACUUUGCCGAAACCUUCAGUCCCGUCGUCAAGCCUGCCACAGUCCGCACGGUGCUCUCUCUGGCUCUCUCCCGCCAAUGGCCAGUUCACCAGCUCGACGUUAAGAAUGCCUUCCUCCAUGGCACCCUGACAGAGACGGUGUUCGCUGCUCAGCCCUCCGGAUUCGAGGAUCCUGCUCACCCUGACUUUGUUUGUCGCCUGAACAAGUCACUUUAUGGGUUGAAGCAGGCUCCUCGUGCUUGGUACAGCCGCUUCGCCACGUACCUGGCCUCCCUCAGCUUUGUGGAGGCCAAGUCAGACACUUCGUUGUUUGUCUACCACCGAGGUUCUGACACAGCCUACCUGGUCCUCUAUGUCGACGAUAUUGUUCUCACUGCCUCUUCGACACAUCUUCAGCGGAAGGUCAUCCUGGCUCUCCACCGGGAAUUUGCUAUGAAGGAUUUGAGAGAACUUCAUCACUUCUUGGGGAUGCAGGUUCAGCGCACUACUGAUGGUAUGGUUCUCUCUCAGCGGCAGUAUAUGUUGGACAUCUUGGAUCGUGCUGGCAUGGCGGAGUGCAAACCUUGUACUACGCUCGUCGACACCAGUCCCAAGAUCUCAGCUGACUCUGGAGCUCCAGUCGCCGACCCGUCAGAUUAUCGCAGUCUUGCUGGCGCCUUGCAGUACCUGACCUUCACACGGCCCGACAUUGCCUACGCCGUGCAGCAGGUCUGUCUUCACAUGCAUGAUCCGUGAGAGCCUCACCUGGCAACUCUCAAGCGCAUCCUUCGGUACAUUCAGGGUACUCUUCACCUGGGUCUUCAUCUCCGUCCGUCGACUCAGGAUGACUUGGUGGUUUACUCUGAUGCUGACUGGGCUGGCUGUCCCGAUACGUGCAAGUCCAUCUCAGGCUAUGCUGUGUUCCUCGACGACAACUUGGUCUCCUGGUCCUCCAAGCGUCAGAAUAUUGUUUCUCGCUCUAGUGCAGAAGCUGAGUACCGCGCUGUCGCCAAUGGUGUUGCUGAGGCUUCUUGGCUACGCCAGCUCCUCCAUGAGCUCCACAUUCCGCUUCGCCGCGCCACAAUUGUCUACUGUGACAAUGUCAGCGCAGUUUACAUGUCCUCCAACCCGGUACAACAUCAACGGACGAAGCACAUCGAGAUCGAUCUUCACUUCGUCCGUGAGAAGGUCGCGAUGGGUGCCGUGCGGGUUCUUCAUGUUUCCACGACAUCCCAGUUUGCCGACGUCUUCACGAAGGGGCUGCCUUCUUCGGUGUUCACUGAGUUUCGGUCCAGUCUGAAUGUCCGUGGCUAAGCACCGACGUUCAAACUGCGGGGGCGUGUUAGUGUGAUGUAUAGGCCCAUGGGCCCAGGGGGGUUCGGCUGCAACCCUAGUGGGUGCGGCUGCUGCCUCCCUCCCUGGUUUUGGUAGUGUUGGUUAUGUUUGGCAAGGAUUCCCUAGAUUAGCUCUUUCCUUUCUAGAUUAGAUCUUUCCUAUUCCUGGGACAUCCUUGCCUAUAUGUACUGAGCCUUGGGCUCCCUCCAUAAUCAAUCUACUAUCUUUCCCAGCCAUCCUCUUUCACUUUUGAGGCGCCGCAGCGAGGUGGGGCUCUACCCCCUCACAACGCCUAGGCGUUUAUGCUGGACUCCUAGGAGACACCAUACACAUAUUGUAAGGUGUUAUAACUUAUAAGCUAGAAUUUUAUAUACUAGUGCAGUACUACAUACCUGCUUUGUUCCCAAUUCUUGAGCCCAAGUUCCUUUCUUCCCUUUCCAAAAGCUCUUCUCCCAUGUAGCAUCCAUCCCCUUUGAAGGAAACUACAUGGCAAUUCCAAAUUCAGUAGUCUAUGACAGGAAGAUAAGUAAAUGAACAGGUUAUCAGUUGUUGGGAAUUAAUAGGAAACAAUAUUCAGAGGCAAGAUAACAAAUUAGCACGCACUAGUGCAUGCAUGAGCAUGGCAAUAUGACAUCAUAAUCUAUCUCUAGUAGCCCACGAACUUAGAGACUGAAGUAUUUAACCCUAAAGCUUACUAAUUACUAGUCAACUACACCAAAGCCAUAUAACAGAGUGAAGGACAACCAAUGAUUUCAAGUCGCCUAGUCGCCUGGUCGAACCCUGGGACCGACCAGGCGACUAGUCGUGAUUAGGUGACGACUAGGGCGACUAGUCGACCCCUAGUCGGUCCCUGGUCGUCCUAGACUAGUAGUUAUACUUAUAUAGGUAUAUAUAUAAAUAUACAUGUAUACAUUAUAUAAAUUAGAACAAACAACUAGGAUAAACAAAGUAACAUGUUGCUUCAUUGUUUAGGGUAUAGGGUUAUUUAGGGUUUAGGGGGAGAAGUGGGGGAGCAGGAGGGACCUUCAGAUGACGUGCUCAUCUCGUCACUGGUUCGCAGCCACCGCCGGUUGGAGAUUGCAGCAGUGCAGCAGGCGAGUAGGACUGCAGAAGGGGCAGGGGACGCAGGGUGCUGUAGCCGCCGGCAAUCAGGAGUUCAGGACUGCAGGGGCUGUGCCAAGAGAGGAGAGGAGACGUGCAGGUUGGAGCUGUUGGCGGCUAGGAUAGAACAGAAGAGGAGAG